AUGAAAUAUUAGUUCUGGUUGCUAGUGCAGAUCUGGACUCGGAUCAAGGGUGUCGAGAGGGUCCUGGGUCCUGUUCCUUUGCCUUUCAAAAAGACUUUUUACGGAUUGAGAAUUUUUAAAUACCACUAGGGGAAAGGUGAAGGUUCUUUGCAGCCUUCAGUGUUGAAAUGGACGAAGGUAAGGAAGGCAAAUCAUUUUAAGACGAAAUCUCCGAUUUUUUAAAAAAGGAGGAAAAAAGCAGGGUGGCUAAGGAUAAAGAAAGAGGACUUGAGAAAAUGUGGAGAAUGAAAAACAGGAGAGCAGCGAGCAAAAGCAAAGAUCCAGAGUUCAAAGAGACUGGCAGAAGGAAAUAGCUGCGGGCUGAGUGCUGAAGAGGGGAGGGACUGACGGCUGCCGGCCGGUAGGAGCGCGGAGCUGCGCUGCGGCGGCCCAGGAGCUGCUGCGGUUCCCGCUGCUCGGGGAGCAGGCGGUGUGUGCGC
This 479-nucleotide long non-coding RNA is filed under the name Homo sapiens (human). RNAcentral describes it as "non-protein coding EPHA5-AS1:2". The record is from RNAcentral. Lineage: Eukaryota; Metazoa; Chordata; Mammalia; Primates; Hominidae.